This 497-nucleotide ribosomal RNA is filed under the name uncultured bacterium. RNAcentral's name for it is "partial 16S ribosomal RNA". It matches the Rfam family "Bacterial small subunit ribosomal RNA", at positions 28 to 507 of the family's 1533-position model. The record is from RNAcentral.
GAUGAACGCUGGCGGCGUGCCUAAUACAUGCAAGUCGAGCGAACGGACGAGAAGCUUGCUUCUCUGAUGUUAGCGGCGGACGGGUGAGUAACACGUGGAUAACCUACCUAUAAGACUGGGAUAACUUCGGGAAACCGUAGCUAAUACCGGAUAAUAUUUUGAACCGCAUGGUUCAAAAGUGAAAGACGGUCUUGCUGUCACUUAUAGAUGGAUCCGCGCUGCAUUAGCUAGUUGGUAAGGUAACGGCUUACCAAGGCAACGAUGCAUAGCCGACCUGAGAGGGUGAUCGGCUACACUGGAACUGAGACACGGUCCAGGCUCCUACGGGAGGCAGCAGUAGGGAAUCUUACGCAAUGGGCGAAAGCCUGACGGAGCAACGCCGCGUGAGUGAUGAAGGUCUUCGGAUCGUAAAACUCUGUUAUUAGGGAAGAACAUAUGUGUAAGUAACUGUGCACAUCUUGACGGUACCUAAUCAGAAAGCCACGGCUAACUACGUG